CAAGUCGAACGGGUUUCAUGGGUUUCGGCCCAGGAGACAGUGGCGGACGGGUGAGUAACACGUGGAUAACCUGCCCUCAUGUGGGGGAUAGCCUUCAGAAAUGAGGGAUAAUACCGCAUAGGGUGUAGGCGAGGGGCGACCCUGGCCUGCGGCAAAGCUCUGGUGGCUGAAAGGCGGCCAGUGGCGCAUGAGGAGGGGUCCGCGGCCGAUUAGCUAGUUGGGGGGGUAAGCGCCUCCCAAGGCGACGAUCGGUAGCUGGUCUGAGAGGAUGGUCAGCCACACUGGGAUUGAGAACGGCCCAGACUCCUACGGGGGGCAGCAGUGAGGGAUCUUCGGCAAUGGGGGCAACCCUGACCGAGCAACGCCGCGUGCGGGAGGACGCCUUUCGGGGUGUAAACCGCUUUUCUGGGGGACGAGGCAAAUGAGUACGGACGGUACCCCAGGAAGAAGUCUCGGCUAACUACGUGCCAGCAGCCGCGGUAAUACGUAGGAGACGAGCGUUGUCCGGAGUUACUGGGCGUAAAGGGUGCGCAGGUGGCCGCGCGCGUGGGGAGUGAAAUCGCCUGGCUUAACUGGGCGGGGGCUUUCCAGACGGCGUGGCUUGAGCCACAGAGGGGGGCGUGGAAUUCCGGGUGGAGCGGUGAAAUGCGUAGAGAUCCGGAGGAACACCGACGGCGCAGGCAGCGCCCUGGCUGUGCAAAGCGAGCAGCAGCAAUGCGUUCGCGCUGACACUGAGGCACGAAAGCUGGGGGAGCAAACAGGAUUAGAUACCCUGGUAGUCCCAGCCGUAAACGAUGUCCACCAGGUGCUGGGCGGAUCGACCCGUU
Molecule: ribosomal RNA, 827 nt
Filed under: uncultured bacterium
Lineage: Bacteria
Description: bacterial SSU rRNA
Rfam family: Bacterial small subunit ribosomal RNA
Source: RNAcentral